UUGUCUUGUUGUCCACACAAGUGAUUCUAUAAAUAGAACCCUUGUGUUGAAGCAUUACUAACUUUUUGUGAGUGCUUAACCUAAUUCACAAAAGUUGUGAAACCCUAGCCGCCGCUCUCUAAACUUUGUUCUCUCUGAAUCUUCGUUGGAAUUGGCUAGCACCGGUCAUCGGAGAAGUUCUGUUCGUGUGGACUGAGUAGAGGCAUCGCUGCUUUGCUUUGCUCGUGAUUAGAAAUAUUUCUUCUACAAAGGUUCUGCUCUUCAAGAGGUAAACACGUGAAUCUUAAAGUGUUUAAGUUUCUGUUUGAUUUGUGAUUAAUGAUUUAAUCAAGAUCCGUUUCAAUGGGAUUUCUUCCGCAAAGAGGAUUAAUAUUUUGAAAAACCCCUCUUAAAAUCCCUUCAGUGGUAUCAGAGCAUCGGUUGUGAUUAAAUCAUUUGAUUCAAAUCAGAAUUAUACAUCCGAAUAAUAGUUAUAUGAUGAUAUGAUUAUAUAUGUUUGCAUCUAUAUGAUCGAAAGCAUGUUUGUGUUCUCAAUUUUGUUUUGAUCGUGCGAUUCGGUAACCGUAUAUGUAUCGUUUUGUUCUUCGUGUAUACACAUCUAUCACUUUGAAAUAUGUGUGUAAUGUAUAUCAAUUAACGGUGCAUCACCCAUUUAGUUUGGAACUAUGAUCACGAGUAAUAGUGCAUAAUUAAACAAUAUAAAAUAAAAUCCAAGAGUUGAAUUUUCUAUUACUUUUGAAAGGUGAAUUUGACUUACGGUAAUACUUGUUCAAUGUGAUGCAAUCAAAAGGAAAUUUGAUUUCCUUUAUUUAAUAAGUUUUUGAAUGCAAAUCCGAUAACUGAUAAUAAUAUUAAGUGUUAAUAUUUUAUUAUUUAAAUAAUUAGAAUUAAUUAAAUUUGAUAUCAUAUAUGUGAUAUAUGAUUCUAAUGCAACAUCAUUAUAUGUGAUAUAUUGAUGAUGUCAUUCGUUCAAUAUGUUUUAUGAAAUUGAUUGUGAAUUUGUAGUCAAUUCGUGAGAUUGAGCUUCGAUAUCCGAAUAUCUGAUUCUGGUGAAGCAUCAAAGAUCCGGUUGUCCAUACUGAACGAACAAUUGUUAAAACUAUUGAUGUUUGAUUGUCGUAUUAGGUUACCUAACUAUACAAGAGUUGUAUUAUCAUGGUUGAUCAAUUGUUUUCAAGAAGAUUGUUGUGACUUUGAACAAUUCGUGAGAUUGAGCUUCGAUAUCCGAAUCUGGUGAAGCAUCAAAGAUCCGGUUGUUCAUGCUAAACAAACAAUCCUAGAAACUAUUUAUGUUUAAUUAAUUUAUUCAAUUGGAGAAAGGUAGUAAAUUUAAAAUAUGAUGAUUUUGAAAGAGUUUCAAUAUCAUAUAUGAUUUUGAAUUUAGUAAUAAAAUAUUUGCUUAAUUUUGGCACCAUAAUUUGUUUUGAAACAAAUUGGUCACCCAAAUAAUGCAUAUUUAAUUAUAAUAAUUAUUGAGUGUCAAUGUUACUAUAAUUAAGUAAAUAAAAAUUCUACCUUUUGAUUGUUUUUAAAAAGUUGUUUGAAAAGGUAAUAAACGAUCCCAAUGUGAUAUUGAAUUUAGAAGAUCAUGAUUUGAUCUUUUGAAUUUAUUUAAAAGAUUUGCAUGAUAUUAAUAUAAUUUAUUUCUAAUUUAAAAGUAUCAUGAUUUUGAAAUAGUUUCAAAAUCAGAUAUGAUCUUUUAGAUUUGGUCCUAAAAUUUGCAUAUUUCAAUUUUAUUUGGUUAUGAUCCGAUUGACUUUGAAAAUAGUUUCAAAAGGACAUAUAUACGAAUCAAUUCUAUAUGAAAUAUAUCGCGGUCAAAAUAUUGUUUCCAAAUCAUGAUUAUUCUAAAAUUGUUUUAAAUAAUUAUAAAUAGUUAUUAUUAUUUAUUUCAUGGUAUAUGGUUAUGACCUUAGUUUUCGGCGUUUGUUCAUUUAUUUAAAUAUGACCUGCGUGUCAUGAUUUAUUUUAUUUAAAUACGACCUGCAUGUCGUGAUUUGCUUUUAUUUAUUUUAUUUAAAUGUUAAAUAAUGUAAAUGCUCAAGUUGAAGAGAAGACAACGCCAAAAGAUGAUUUUGAUGGAGAAACUUUUGAAGCUUGCUCGUGGGUCAAAGAAUUGUAAUAAAGUAGUUUAUUUAAUUCUUACGCGUUAGGAGGUCAUAACCAUACUACCUAGUUAAUUAUUUUAUGUAUGUGAUGCAUGAAAUGUGUGUUUAGAUUAGUGCAUGUAUAUUUUAAAUAUUUUAUAUAUAUUUCCUAUCUAUGAACAUGAAUGUCAUGUAUAAUAUUAGAUGUGUGUAUAAGAUACACAUGUCAGUGAGAUCAACUUAAUUAAAAUCCUUCAAAUAGAAUAUGAAGUAAAUUAUUUUCAAAGUAUAACACACUUCAAGACUAAUAUCGAAAUGUGUAGGUUUUGCCUCCGCGAGGUGCACUUUCUAUACUAGUAAGUUGUGGUGCGGUAAUUCUAUUUACCGACUGUUAUUUUGGAUCUAACUUAACUAUAUUAUUUUAACAAGAUUAAUAUAUAUAUAUAUAUAUAUAUAUAUAUAUAUAUAUAUAUAUAUAUAUAUAUUUACUUCAAAAGAAUAUUAAGUUAAUUGCUUUCCAAAGAAUGACACCCUUCAAGACUAAUAUCGAAAUGUGUAGGAUUCGCCUCCGCGAGGUGCACUUUCUAUACUAGUAAGUUGCGGUGCGGUAAUUCCAUUUACCCGACUGUUAUUCUUUGGGUCCAACUUAACUAAAUUAUUUUAAUAUGAUUAAAAUAAAUUUAGAAGCAAUGUUUGGGAACAUCUAUAUGAUAGAUUAGAGUAAAGAGUUAUUCACUCAAAUGAUUUGAAAGUUGUAUGAGAUACAAUUGGAAGGAGUUCCUACCUAAAUAAUUGAGUUUUGAGUACAACCCCCGUUGACUUAAAGCAAGGUGAAAUAUGGAUUUCAAUCCACUAGAAAAUCUUCCAAUGAGAUUUUCCGAUUCAAAUGUUGAAGGUCAUUUGUUUUGAGUAAAAUAGUGGGAGCAUAUUUAAUUAAAGACCUAAUUAAUUAUGUUUUUAUAUCAUGAUAUAUAUAUUUUAUUUAUUUUCUGUAUUUAUAAUUUCUUCGGCAUAUACAUUUUAUUAUACUGUUAAAUGUUCUUAUGAAGAACAAAAUCUUCAGAAAGGAGUUUCUGAAUUGGUACAAAAUUAAGAAUUGUUCUUAAAAAUGAGAAAGAAAAAAAAAACUGUUAAUGUUAUGAAAGAGUCAAAAUAGAAGUAAGACUUCUUAUUUGCCCAUAUAGUUAUAGAAAGUUAAAUUUCUACUUCUGCAUCAUAAGUAUAUGAUACUUGAUGGUUAAUCUCAUAUUUGUUGAAAUAUAGAGAGUUUUAAAGAAGCGGGACAUUAACUAUAAGCGAAGUCCACUUAUGUCUAGAAUGAGACAAAUUGUUUCAUUGACAUAGGAGCUAAUGCUUGGACUUAAACAUAACUUGAUAUGGAACCAAAUAAUUGUUAUUAAAUUCCAUAUAAAAUAGAAGCAUUAAAUCAUAAAUCUUGUAUUAACAAGAGAAUGAUUGUGUAGUUGAAUAAAAAGACAAAUGUUGUCCUAUUAUCCAAAUAAUGUUUUCUAUACAAGUUUGCUAAUCAAGUAAUGGAAUUGAGUUCCAUGAUCUUGAUAAGCUGGUCUAUAACUUAUGAGUAAAGGAUCAAAUGAGAUUAGAACCUUUUGUAUAUCAUUGGCAUCACUGUUUAGUACAAACAAGUGUGAUUCACAUUUCCAAAAUCCAUGGAUAUGGACUAUUGGACUCAUUUGAUUUUAUAUCAUUUGAAGGAUGUGAGUCCCACCUUUCAAAAUAGAUUUGUAUACCGAUCACUAACAAAGGUGAAAGGACACGUAAUUUAUUUGAGUUUAUAUACAUAUGAGAUGUAUAUGGAGAACUAAACAUAUUUGCUAGAUAUUGUUUCUAUUACUUCAUCUGACAUUACUAAAUCAUUUAGUAGAUAAGAAAAGUGUAUUUGACACGAUUCAUGCAAACUUUGAAAUUGUUCAAAGAUUUCAACAAUGAAGUAAAAGAAAUAAGUUUGAAAAGUAUAAAGACUAUACGAGUAAGUCGUGAUGGUAAAUGCUUGAUUAAUGAGUAUAAUAAUUAUUUAUAUCGGUUUAUUUUUGACAUGACUCGAUCUAAAAUAAUUUGAUUAUAACUCAAAGACUCUUGAAAUUAAUUAAAUUACAGUUAUUCUUCACCCACAACAAGUUCUAAUUGAGUAAUCAUAAAUGCACCAUAUUAGAUAUGGAGGUAAAAGUACCUAUUUUUGACUUUAUGUUAAUUUGGGGUAAUAUGGUUUACUAGAUAAACUAAACUUCAAAUUUAAUGAAUGUAUACUUGUGGAGGUUCCCUUAGGAAACUAAAGGAUACUAUUUCUACAUCUUCUUCCUGGACAAAAGUUGUUUGUCGCUAGUACUGGAGUAUUCCUUUUCAAGGAGUAUAACUUUGCAAGAGCUAGUGGGAGUGAUGUAGAACUUGAAUUAAGUCAAGUACCACAAAAUACAUGUUUCUCAAUGGAACAUGAACUGAUUCAAUAAAGGGUUGUUGGUAAAUCGGUAGUUCUAGUAGCACAUGAUCUAGAUGAGUCUGAUAUGUCAUAACACUAGGAUGAGAAACAUGAUUUUGUCAUGACUCAUUAAGGUGAUAUGAUGCUCAUGGAAGAUGAGCACCUGACUUACUAGAAGGUCGCAAAUGACCUGAUUUUUGAGAAGUGGCUAGUUGCCAUGGGAUCUUAUAAAGAAUCCAUGUACACAAACCAUAUAUGGAUAUUGGUUAUAUCAUCCAAAUGAGUAUGACUCAUAAGAUGAAUGUGAGUUUUCUUGUAGAAAACUGACAUGGAUGGUAUUAUGAAUACCUUUAAGAUGUGAUUGAUUGUAGAAAGUUUCAUGCUACUCAUGAUGCAAAUCAUAACGAAACUAUUACAUCAUCGUAAUGCUUAAAUCUAAAGAUCCCAAUUGUCUUUGUUGUAUAAUACGAAUUCUAGGAGAUGGAUAACGAUGUUGCAUUCUUUAAUUAGAAUGACCUUAUAUAUGUAUUUGACAUAUAUGUAGGGUUCCGUUAAUCCAAAGGAUACUAGAAAGGUAAAUGUAUUACAAAAUUUAUUUAUUAGAGAAAUCUUCUCAAAGUUAAAUUGUUUAUUUUAUUAACGAAGUUUUAUGAAAACUUUGAUUAAUAAAGAAAUCUUGUGCAUAUAAGGAGACUAGUGGGAGCAUUGAAAUUAGUUUGGUGGAGUAUGUGGAUGACAUACUAGUCACCAAAAUAAUUUAUCUACACAUGUAAGACAUGGUUAGAAAAUUAUUUUCAAUAUGUACCAAAAUUGAUUAUUGUGUUCGACACUAUAAUACGUUCAAGAAUAUCCUUGGAUGUCUUAAAGGACUAUAAAUUGUUUCUUGAACACAGAUGAAAGAAACAUUGUAAAUGAGUUACAAUAAUGUUGACUUUCAUAUCGGUGUACAGUAUAUCCAGAUCUUAAUUUGGAAUAAAUGUUAUGCUAGGAUAUCAACUAUGAAAAUUGUAAAAGUACAAACUUCAGAUAGUUGUUGUUUCUAUUGCACAUGUAAGACAUGGUUAGAAAAUUAUUUUCAAUAUGUACCAAAAUUGAUUAUUGUGUUCGACACUAUAAUACGUUCAAGAAUAUCCUUUUACAAAAUUAUUUUCAAUAUGUACCAAAAUUGAUUAUUGUGAAACCCUAGCCGCCGCUCUCUAAACUUUGUUCUCUCUGAAUCUUCGUUGGAAUUGGCUAGCACCGGUCAUCGGAGAAGUUCUGUUCGUGUGGACUGAGUAGAGGCAUCGCUGCUUUGCUUUGCUCGUGAUUAGAAAUAUUUCUUCUACAAAGGUUCUGCUCUUCAAGAGGUAAACACGUGAAUCUUAAAGUGUUUAAGUUUCUGUUUGAUUUGUGAUUAAUGAUUUAAUCAAGAUCCGUUUCAAUGGGAU
RNAcentral lists this long non-coding RNA (5948 nucleotides) under Medicago truncatula (barrel medic). RNAcentral's name for it is "long non-coding RNA (MTRU_LNC004406)". Lineage: Eukaryota; Viridiplantae; Streptophyta; Magnoliopsida; Fabales; Fabaceae. The record is from RNAcentral.